Molecule: long non-coding RNA, 165 nt
Organism: Oxyura jamaicensis (ruddy duck)
Lineage: Eukaryota; Metazoa; Chordata; Aves; Anseriformes; Anatidae
Exons: 3
Source: RefSeq, a predicted model, not a curated record
CAGAAAGAUUCUUUUUUAUGUCUGCAGAUCACAUCAUUUGAGGAAAGCAUCGGAAACCCCAGUAAAAAUAAAGCCAUAUAACAAUGUAGCUGCUGGGUAUGAAUACACUGAAUCAGGACUCUGGGAUACAAACAGAAUUAUUUAAAACUACAGUGAUAUCCACUG